Lolium rigidum is the source of this 2236-nucleotide long non-coding RNA. RefSeq lists it as uncharacterized. The record is from RefSeq and is a predicted model, not a curated record. The transcript is spliced from 3 exons. Lineage: Eukaryota; Viridiplantae; Streptophyta; Magnoliopsida; Poales; Poaceae.
GCGAGCAGGAUGGGCGCAGGCCGCGGCGGCGACCAGGACGGGCCCGGCCUCGCAGUAACAUGGGAGCGGAGCCAGGCCUCACCCACGAGACGGAACAUGGCCGCAGCUGAGCCUCGCCGUCGCGCGGUAGUGGAUGGGCAUCGGAGCACGGUGGCCCCCUGCCGGUGGCGUAGAGCAGGGGCGGGGAGGCGGGUGGUAUCUUGCUUGGCCUUUGCCCUUCAUGUCGUCGUGUGCAGCAAACCUACCAUCUGUGCUUGGGUUGCAUGGCAUCAGGCGCCGCCGCCAAACGUAGGGCGGGUGCUUGGUUGUGAUGGCGGGAGGCGCCACAGCCAGUAAUUGAUGCACGGCCGCCUCCCCGCUGCGCCCUUUGCCAUGCUGGCCGACACAUGGGUCGAGGCGUUGUUACAGCCGGCAACUCCACACGCUCGUGCUGCCGACCGCCGCUUGCCUGCCGCCGGCGCCGGCAUGCCCAACAUGAAGGGUUGAUGAGUGGCACUGUUGCCUAUCUCCAAUGUGCUGCUGCCUGCAGGUUGAGCUGCGAAGUCUGUUGCUGUGCGUCGACCUCAACCACUGGACCACGACGGCAGAGUGCCGACAACGUCAUCGACUGUAUGAGGAGCACUUAGGAAUCUGAUGGAGUUGCCUUUCUUUCCCAACCCGAUCAACUGUAUGACUCUGGGCCUUUUGUUCUGUGGUAAUAUUUCAGAAAAAUGGCAUGCUAUAUUACAUCUGUAACUCUGCAAGGUCUGUAAGGAUUGUUUGUCUGCAUGCAAUUUUAUGAUUAUUACCAAUGCACUUCCGUGGUAAAAGAAAUACAUGUCAUAUUGAAAAGCUAUUGUCAGUUAAACUAUUUGUUCAAGGUUAGAAGUUAUAAAAGAAAUGCCAUGUUUGCCCCAUAUAGAGUUCUGACUACUGCAUAUUGCAGUUAUUUCCAUAUCGUUUUAUCAUAUGCUCAUAGAAGCUAAAAUAUAGUUGGCAGUAGACAAAAUGGAUUGCUCACCCAUGGCCUGAAAGUAUUGCUAGGACAUGCGUGCCUUGGUUCUUUGCGUGUUUGCUCCGUAUUUCUCCUUUCCUUUUCCCUCAUCUUUUCUUCCCUGUGAGCAGUUCCUGUUCUGUUCUAUGAGUUCCUGUUCGGUGCCUACUUCCUUCUGGUUGAAGUAUUGAUCAUGUCUGUUUGUGUAGGCCCGCUUGGAUAGGACUUCUAUUCUUUGAUUGAAGUUGAGAUGGCUCAAUCUUUUUCACUGAAAAAACAAAUAUCAAUUCUAUAAAAAUAUAGCUUUUUAACAUCCAGGCUGUGCAGAUUUGAUGAGCUUGAAGGUGACAACGACCUGGCCGCUGUUGGUGGAGCAGAAGGCGUGGUAGACAGACUGAAGCCUUCGUCGCUGACCAUGAGCGCGUUCCUGAAGCUUUCAACGCCGCUAACGAGUUUCUACAGCCGAACACUCUCGGCCAUGCCACGCCCCACUGCUCCGGAAGUCUUAUCCUCUUUGGGCCGUCGAAUGUCUGCACCGGAGAAUUGGCGCUUCUCGGCCUUUCUCUUCCCGCUAAUGGUAAUCAUAGAUACAUUUCCUGCCAAGUUUCCACCUCCUUUUUAGUUGAUUUCAUUGAUCCUUGCAUUUGCAUCUGUCUCAUGACUGAUUAUUGUUUACUUCCAUUGGUACUUGGUUUGUUCAUUACAACUGCAAAGAAAUUGGAAAAGCAUCAGCAUGUGCUACCAGUAGCACAUCUUAAAUUGGUACAUUCUUUCCAAACUUUUCAUGGCGUGCUCAGAAAAAUGCUACUGCAUAUUUUUAUUUUUCCAGAAAUUGGCUUCUAACUGAAGGAUCAGGCCUGCUGCUCACUGCCUGAGUAAUGAAUUUUUUUCAUAUACUUCUCAUAAAAUUUAUUUAGUGGAUGUUGCACUUGAUUCAUGGUUAAAUUAGUUCCCUUGAUGGCUAUACGUGUUGCCUAGAGCGAAAGCUCUUGCAAUACUGGCAAAGGUUCGCCUCCCAGUGUGACGACAGCCUCAACACUCUACUGUCAGUCAGCGCCGGACCAACCCACUACUACAUCAAAAUUUCUCGCUCUUCUCUUGGAGUCAGAAGCUGAAUUGUUUGGGGGUUUUGGUUUUCUUGGUCAGGUUGGACAGUGCGCAUCCACACCGGGUGACCAGCCAUUUCCUAAGGGAAGUACAGCUAUAGCCUACAGGGAAGGAAGGGGAGAAUCAAGAGAGAGAGAGAGAGAGAGAGAGAGAGAG